Lotus japonicus is the source of this 1061-nucleotide RNA transcript. It is a transcript of the gene named protein STRUBBELIG-RECEPTOR FAMILY 2-like, with no coding region annotated. The record is from RefSeq and is a predicted model, not a curated record. NCBI's taxonomy places the organism in Eukaryota, Viridiplantae, Streptophyta, Magnoliopsida, Fabales, Fabaceae. The transcript is spliced from 4 exons.
UUUCACUUUGAUAUGGCUUUGGCUUUUUAGUUGUUGGGGAAGCUUUGAGUUUUAGCAUGUCAUAGUAAAUUUUGCAUUUAUUUAUAAUAUGUUUCUUUUGCCUAUUCGGAUGAAGGAAGGUCCAAAAUGGAGAAAGGCAAGGGACAGAUGAAAGUCAUGAAACAGACAUAGCACAGAAUGUUGUCUCUCACAGGGGACAGAGAUUGUUAAAAAGUGUGGUUGCUGUUGCAGGGUUCUAAUUUGGAUUCUGCAAUGAUGUAAAAGAUGAUAGCAUGGUAAACUUCUACUACACCAAGCAAAAUUCAAGGAUUGAACAUCACUAGGUAUCUCGGAGGCUUGCUUCACAAUCUACAAAACUUGAAGCAUAUGUAAGUAAUUGUGUAUAUAUUUCAAGUUGUUCUGUUUCACUGUAAACAUAUGUGACUUACUUGUUUCCAUAUUCUUGUUUAUUUAGGGAUGUGAUUUCUAACAACAUAGUUGGUGAGAUACCAUAUAGUUUGCCACCCAAUGCCACACAUAUGUAAGCCUAUUGUUCUGAUGAUUUUUUCCUUCAUCAGUGAAUUCUAUUUGUUUAUGUGACCCUGUGUCUUCAGCAGUGAGUUUUUCUGAUGAAUCUUCUUUAUUGCAGAAACAUGGCUUGCAAUUAUUUGAGCCAAAAUAUCCCUCAUUCUUUACCAACCAUGAAGAAACUGAGACUUCUGCUUGGUCCCUUGGAAAAUCAACUCAAACAGAGCAAAGUAGCAACACAAGGAUAUACAACUCAUAGCCCUACAAUAAUGACAAGGCCUAAACAGUGUGCAUUAUGGCAAGUUGUUGCAGAUGCUCUACUCUCCCUCGCGUCUUUCUGGAUGCAGCUAGAUCCGAUUCUAAUUCCAACAAAACUUUGUUAAUUCAUGCUUUUAACUGAUGUAGCUUGCUUUAAUUUCUUGAGAGAGUAUGUUCUCAACAACAAUUAGUAUUGUUUUAGACAAAUUAGUAAAGUGACAUGGAUUUUAGUAUUGUUUUGUUAUUCAAGGCUGGAAUAUUUGAGUAAUUCUGUUAGAAUAUGUGAAUGUUGUUCU